UGCUUACAAAUGUUUUUCCUGACAAUUUGAAUUUGGAAAGGAACGAUUUUAUCUUCCUUUCUCCACUAUGUACCAUAGAGGGAAAUCUGGGAGAGCCGACUUCAGUAAGGAUUCUUACUUUUUGCUGAUUUCUAUCAGUUUUCGCCAGAUCCUAUCUGCAGGCUCUGGAGUGAGUGGGGUGUCCCAGUGGAUCUCAUCUUGGUCACCAGAAACUGUAGAGGAAGAAAGAUUAUUUCUCCUCCACCCUUUAUGAAUUCCUGACCUGGAAUGAACAUCCAUCAAAAUUGUUUUUAAAGAUUCUCAUCCCUCUCUCAUCAAUCUGUUCUUCAUCUCAAGUGUGAAAGCCCUGGAAUGAGAUAACAAAAACAAAGACUGAUACAAUUUGGCCAAGUUCACAUCAUGUCCAAAAUGAUCUCACCCAUGAGCAAGUAUUCUGUAAAAAAUAGGAAUGGCUGUUGUCCGUAAGAUGAUUCUACUUCAAGCUCUGCAGAAAGUCCAGAAACAAGGAAACACAAACUGCCUGGCUCCCAACUUGAAAUAAGAGUAAGAGGAAGAAAUAGAAGACAGACACCAACUAUUGUCUUAAAAAUGCUGUUCUAUCAUGUGUAUAUCACCAGGAUCUACAGCUUGAAUUAUAUACAGGUUCAUCAGUGUUGCACCUCUGAAAUCAUGUGGCAUAUGACAAGAAAGUCUCAUUACCUCAAGCCACCUGGAAGUGUGGCUAAUCAACCACGUCUCAGCUCCUGUGAGUUGGUGAUUAUACCUGAAAUGGAUGCCAGCAGGAUCCAUAAACAGCAGCUAGAUGAAGGAAUGAGGAGAUUCCAUUAGUGGGGUAAGCGGAAUAAAUAUUUUAAAACCAUUGGAGAAGAGUUUAAGAGGUCAGACAAAAAUACCUACAGCUGGAAAGUGAGUCUACCAUCUAUUCUGAAACUGAAGGAUAUAUAGAAUUUUUGGUUUAGGGAGUCUUUAAACUCAUCUAACUCAGAAAUCAUCAUGUAGAUUCUGUGGGUCCAUGGAGGGGCUUAAAGUUUUCUGGAAAUGUUUGAUUGGUAUUCCAUUUAUAAAUAGUGGGGGUUUUUUCUUUUUGUUUUUUUGUUGUUUGUUGUUUUUUGGGUUUUUUUUUUUUGCUAUCUGUAACACUGUAAUAAAAAACAGAAAGUAAACUUAAAUAUUAAAUAUAUUGUGUAAAUAUCCUUAAAUAUAUUGUGAAGGGAUACCAAAUGGGUGUGUAAAAUACAACUUAACUUGAGAUCCUGACUUUCACGUAAGAUGGGACUCCACGGGGCCCAUCCUGGAGGAAUAUCUGUUAAACCCAGGUGAUGCUACACCCCUCCUCUGUUCAGCAUCUACACUGGCUUCCCACUGUACUCUAGGGGCCUAACCCAGUCCCACAGGUGCUUCAGGACACACCCCUUACCUUGCCAACCUCAUUUCUCACCACGUUUUCUUUGCUGACAUAUUAGCCUCCUUGCUGCUCCUAGAAAGUAUCACCCUUGCUCCUAUCUGCCUGCAAUGUUCUUUCCAUAGGCACCACUGUAUUUUGCUUCCUUGCCUCCUUCAAGAAUUUGCUU
Molecule: long non-coding RNA, 1571 nt
Organism: Acinonyx jubatus (cheetah)
Lineage: Eukaryota; Metazoa; Chordata; Mammalia; Carnivora; Felidae
Exons: 4
Source: RefSeq, a predicted model, not a curated record